CCCUUAGAUGUUCUGGGCCGCACGCGCGCUACACUGAGCCCUUCAUCGAGUUUACAACCUUGGCCGGUAGGUCUGGGUAAUCUUCUCAAAGGGGCUCGUGCUGGGGAUAGAUUAUUGUAAUUUUUAAUCUUCAACGAGGAAUUCCUAGUAAACGCAAGUCAACAGCUUGCAUUGAUUACGUCCCUGCCCUUUGUACACACCGCCCGUCGCCACUACCGAUUGAAUGGCUUAGUGAGCCCGAGGGACUGUUGCACCUAGAGGGUUUUCUCUCCAGGAGCAGCCGGGAACUCGGUCAAACUUGAUCAUUUAGAGGAAGUAAAAGUCGUAACA
RNAcentral lists this ribosomal RNA (330 nucleotides) under uncultured eukaryote. RNAcentral's name for it is "partial 18S ribosomal RNA". It matches the Rfam family "Eukaryotic small subunit ribosomal RNA", at positions 1470 to 1796 of the family's 1831-position model. The record is from RNAcentral.